GACGAACGCUGGCGGCGUGCUUAACACAUGCAAGUCGAGCGGUAAGGCCCUUUCGGGGGUACGACGAGCGGCGAACGGGUGAGUAACACGUGGGUGGACCUGCCCUCAGCUCUGGGAUAAGCCUGGGAAACCGGGUCUAAUACCGGAUAUGACUCCAUGACGCAUGUUGUGGGGUGGAAAGCCUUGUGCGGCUGAGGAUGGGCCCGCGGCCUAUCAGCUUGUUGGUGGGGUGAUGGCCUACCAAGGCGACGACGGGUAGCCGGCCUGAGAGGGCGACCGGCCACACUGGGACUGAGACACGGCCCAGACUCCUACGGGAGGCAGCAGUGGGGAAUCUUGCGCAAUGGGCGAAAGCCUGACGCAGCGACGCCGCGUGAGGGAUGACGGCCUGUGUAACUC
This 399-nucleotide ribosomal RNA is filed under the name uncultured bacterium. Its description in RNAcentral is "bacterial SSU rRNA". It matches the Rfam family "Bacterial small subunit ribosomal RNA", at positions 28 to 431 of the family's 1533-position model. The record is from RNAcentral.